UGUGACCUCAAAUCAGGUAGGACUACCCGCUGAACUUAAGCAUAUCAAUAAGCGGAGGAAAAGAAACUAACAAGGAUUCCCCUAGUAACUGCGAGUGAAGCGG
This 103-nucleotide ribosomal RNA is filed under the name Cortinarius angustisporus. RNAcentral describes it as "partial 28S ribosomal RNA". It matches the Rfam family "Eukaryotic large subunit ribosomal RNA", at positions 1 to 101 of the family's 3401-position model. The record is from RNAcentral. Lineage: Eukaryota; Fungi; Basidiomycota; Agaricomycetes; Agaricales; Cortinariaceae.